UACGUAGGGUGCAAGCGUUGUCCGGAAUUAUUGGGCGUAAAGAGCUCGUAGGCGGUUCGUCGCGUCGGCUGUGAAAACCUGAGGCUCAACCUCAGGCCUGCAGUCGAUACGGGCGGACUUGAGUACUGCAGGGGAGACUGGAAUUCCUGGUGUAGCGGUGAAAUGCGCAGAUAUCAUUUGGAACGCCAAUGGUGAAAACAGGUCGCUGGGAGUGUGCUGACGCUGAGACACGAAAGCCAGGGGAGCAAACGGG
This 253-nucleotide ribosomal RNA is filed under the name uncultured bacterium. RNAcentral's name for it is "partial 16S ribosomal RNA". It matches the Rfam family "Bacterial small subunit ribosomal RNA", at positions 524 to 776 of the family's 1533-position model. The record is from RNAcentral.